RNAcentral lists this ribosomal RNA (458 nucleotides) under uncultured bacterium. RNAcentral describes it as "partial 16S ribosomal RNA". It matches the Rfam family "Bacterial small subunit ribosomal RNA", at positions 29 to 507 of the family's 1533-position model. The record is from RNAcentral.
AACGAACGCUGGCGGCAUGCCUAACACAUGCAAGUCGAACGAGACCUUCGGGUCUAGUGGCGCACGGGUGCGUAACGCGUGGGAACCUGCCCUUAGGUUCGGAAUAACUCCCCGAAAGGGGUGCUAAUACCGGAUCAUGUCUUGGGUCCAAAGAGUUAUCGCCUUUGGAGGGGCCCGGGUUGGAUUAGUUAGGGGGGAGGGUAAAAGGCUUUCAUGGGGACGAUGCAUAACUGGUCAGAGAGGAGGGUCAGCCACACUGGCACUGAGACACGGCCGAGACUCCUGCGGUAGGCAGCAGUGGGGAAUAUUGCACGAUGGGGGAAUGCCUGAUACUGGCAUGCCGCGUGUGUGAUGAAGCUCUUCGGACGGUAAAGCACUGUAAGUUGUGAGGAAGGACAGCAAGUUAAUCCCGGGCGGUAUUGACGUUACCAACAGAAUAAGCACCGGCUAACUUCGUG